AUUACCCAAUCCUGACACAGGGAGGUAGUGACAAGAAAUAACAAUACAGGGCUACUGUCUUGUAAUUGGAAUGAUGGUGACUUAAACCCUCACCAGAGUACCAAUUGGAGGGCAAGUCUGGUGCCAGCAGCCGCGGUAAUUCCAGCUCCAAUAGCGUAUAUUAAACUUGUUGCAGUUAAAAAGCUCGUAGUUGAAUUUCUGCGUUUGCGCUUGCGUUUUUUUAUUGGCUUGGCAUCUUCUGGAUUUGGUGCCUUCUUUCCAGGAUUUACUUUGAGAAAAUUAGAGUGUUUCAAGCAGGCUUUUGUCUUGAAUACUUCAGCAUGGAAUAAUAGAGUAGGACUUUGGUUCUAUUUUGUUGGUUAUUGAACCUGAGUAAUGGUUAAUAGGAACGGUUGGGGGCAUUCGUAUUUAA
Molecule: ribosomal RNA, 412 nt
Filed under: Babesia sp.
Lineage: Eukaryota; Apicomplexa; Aconoidasida; Piroplasmida; Babesiidae
Description: bacterial SSU rRNA
Rfam family: Eukaryotic small subunit ribosomal RNA
Source: RNAcentral